AAAAAAAAAAAGGCAUUAAGAUAAUUCAUGCUUUCGAAUUGGUUAUAAGAAUAAGCUUACACAGAACAUACUAUAUCGCAUGAUAAAGUAAAUAUAUCCAUUGGCUUAUGGUUUGAGAAGCUAGCAUGAGCACCAGAUCCCUAGGAAGACUGGCAGGCACCCCACCAUCAGCCAAAGCUUCUAUUGCUAAAAAUAAGUAUACUGAUCUACUACCAAUCAACAUUCCAGGAGAAGAUAAACUAGUUAGGUAGUGUUUGAUUUCCCUUUUUUUCCAUGAAAAAUGGAAAAUUUUUCCAACUUUGGCCAAUUUGAAGUGUUUGAUACCAAACAAUUUCCAUGGAAAUCAUUUUCCACAUUUUCUCCCACGCGAUGCCUUUUCCUUCUUUUUGAGGAAUUGAAAUUCUUAUAGGUUUGAUGAGAAUUGGAAUUCCAUGCAAAUUUUUUUUUCCUUUUUUUUUUUUUUAGCAGUGGAAAAAAAUUCUAAGAAUUAUUGUAAAAAAAUAUUUUUCUUUAAUUGACAAUUUUCAUGUAAAACAAAGCCAAACAAACAUCCAAAGAUAGAUGAUUUUCUUGAAAAUAUAUAUAUAUAUUUUAUUUAUUUAUUUAUUUAUUUUUGGGUUUUGGCAAUGGAAACAAAUUUCAUUCCCAAUAGCAGUAAAUUUUAUCCCUUUAGUUGACAAUUUUCAUGUAAAACAAAGCCAAACGAAUAUCAAAAAAUACUUUUAUUUUAACAUUUUCCACCUAGAAAAUUAUACCAAUCAAACACUAUCAAUUGACAAUUCCCAGAAAAUAAUUUCCCAUCAUUUCAAUUCUCUGAAAUUCAUUUUCUUUCCACCCAAAUUUCACCUUUGUAAUCAAACAGACCAUUAGAAUAUGCCAAAUUAGCCUCAUAUUUUCAGCUCUAGAAAAUAUAUGGCUAUCGCUUGCAAGCUUUGCGUUAAGAAUUAACCAUACAACAUGAAAACAUGAAAAAAGUAAACAAUACCUCAGGCCAGUGAUUGCAUCAAACAGUUUCUCAUCAGCUGUCCGGACCUUACCAAUAGCUCCAAAUAACUUGGAAAUUAAUUCUCCAUCAUCUUUAGUAGCUGCAUCCCUCAUGCUUAUAACUAUGUACAUGUUAAUUAGAUUGGUAAAACUGCAUUAUCAUUCUAAAUCGCAAAACCAACACAUGCAUAUCUUUGUGUAGUAACAACAAACUCAAAAUUGGAUUAACACUGUGAAAGAUAAUGGGGAGGAAAAUCUUGAAGUAGUGUGACAGAUAAUAGAGAUUUGA
This 1273-nucleotide long non-coding RNA is filed under the name Olea europaea (common olive). Its description in RNAcentral is "long non-coding RNA (OEUR_LNC003165)". Lineage: Eukaryota; Viridiplantae; Streptophyta; Magnoliopsida; Lamiales; Oleaceae. The record is from RNAcentral.